This 497-nucleotide ribosomal RNA is filed under the name uncultured bacterium. RNAcentral's name for it is "partial 16S ribosomal RNA". It matches the Rfam family "Bacterial small subunit ribosomal RNA", at positions 28 to 507 of the family's 1533-position model. The record is from RNAcentral.
GACGAACGCUGGCGGCGUGCCUAAUACAUGCAAGUUGAGCGCUGAAGGUUGGUACUUGUACCGACUGGAUGAGCAGCGAACGGGUGAGUAACGCGUGGGGAAUCUGCCUUUGAGCGGGGGACAACAUUUGGAAACGAAUGCUAAUACCGCAUAAAAACUUUAAACACAAGUUUUAAGUUUGAAAGAUGCAAUUGCAUCACUCAAAGAUGAUCCCGCGUUGUAUUAGCUAGUUGGUGAGGUAAAGGCCCACCAAGGCGAUGAUACAUAGCCGACCUGAGAGGGUGAUCGGCCACAUUGGGACUGAGACACGGCCCAAACUCCUACGGGAGGCAGCAGUAGGGAAUCUUCGGCAAUGGACGAAAGUCUGACCGAGCAACGCCGCGUGAGUGAAGAAGGUUUUCGGAUCGUAAAACUCGGUUGGUAGAGAAGAACGUUGGUGAGAGUGGAAAGCUCAUCAAGUGACGGUAACUACCCAGAAAGGGACGGCUAACUACGUG